Long non-coding RNA from Ostrinia nubilalis (European corn borer), 1620 nucleotides. RefSeq lists it as uncharacterized. The transcript has 3 exons. The record is from RefSeq and is a predicted model, not a curated record. Lineage: Eukaryota; Metazoa; Arthropoda; Insecta; Lepidoptera; Crambidae.
CUCAGCGACUAAGGUCACGCGUCACCAGCGACUAAGGUCACGCGUCACCAGCGACUAAGGUCACGCGUCACCAGCGACUAAGGUCACGCGUCACACUCAGCUUGUGCGGUUGUCGCGCGUCACCAGCUUGUGCGGUUGUCGCGCGUCACCAGCGACUAGACAUGUCACGCGCCACGCGAGGUUACUAGCACACACGGCGCUAGUCGCGUGACGGUCGUCUCACCCGGCGGCGCGGGCGCGCUGCUCAGUAGCGCGGCGCGGUACAGGUUGGCGUCGGCGAUGCAGUGGUUGGCCAGCGCCAACAGCAGCAGACACGACUGGUUGCUGAGCGGGUGCUGCUGCUUGAGCCGGCCGCUGAGCGAGCUGCGGUCUAGCGGCGGGUGGGAGUAGAUGCUCUGCCACGCGAAGUGACUAAGGUCACGCGUCACACUCAGCGACUAAGGUCACGCGUCACCAGCGACUAAGGUCACGCGUCACACUCAGCGACUAAGGUCACGCGUCACCAGCGACUAAGGUCACGCGUCACCAGCGACUAAGGUCACGCGUCACCAGCGACUAAGGUCACGCGUCACACUCAGCUUGUGCGGUUGUCGCGCGUCACCAGCUUGUGCGGUUGUCGCGCGUCACCAGCGACUAGACAUGUCACGCGCCACGCGAGGUUACUAGCACACACGGCGCUAGUCGCGUGACGGUCGUCUCACCCGGCGGCGCGGGCGCGCUGCUCAGUAGCGCGGCGCGGUACAGGUUGGCGUCGGCGAUGCAGUGGUUGGCCAGCGCCAACAGCAGCAGACACGACUGGUUGCUGAGCGGGUGCUGCUGCUUGAGCCGGCCGCUGAGCGAGCUGCGGUCUAGCGGCGGGUGGGAGUAGAUGCUCUGCCACGCGAAGUGACUAAGGUCACGCGUCACACUCAGCGACUAAGGUCACGCGUCACCAGCGACUAAGGUCACGCGUCACCAGCGACUAAGGUCACGCGUCACACUCAGCUUGUGCGGUUGUCGCGCGUCACCAGCUUGUGCGGUUGUCGCGCGUCACCAGCGACUAGACAUGUCACGCGCCACGCGAGGUUACUAGCACACACGGCGCUAGUCGCGUGACGGUCGUCUCACCCGGCGGCGCGGGCGCGCUGCUCAGUAGCGCGGCGCGGUACAGGUUGGCGUCGGCGAUGCAGUGGUUGGCCAGCGCCAACAGCAGCAGACACGACUGGUUGCUGAGCGGGUGCUGCUGCUUGAGCCGGCCGCUGAGCGAGCUGCGGUCUAGCGGCGGGUGGGAGUAGAUGCUCUGCCACGCGAAGUGACUAAGGUCACGCGUCACACUCAGCGACUAAGGUCACGCGUCACCAGCGACUAAGGUCACGCGUCACACUCAGCGACUAAGGUCACGCGUCACACUCAGCGACUAAGGUCACGCGUCACCAGCGACUAAGGUCACGCGUCACCAGCGACUAAGGUCACGCGUCACACUCAGCGACUAAGGUCACGCGUCACCAGCGACUAAGGUCACGCGUCACCAGCGACUAAGGUCACGCGUCACCAGCGACUAAGGUCACGCGUCACACUCAGCUUGUGCGGUUGUCGCGCGUCACCAGCUUGUGCGGUUGUCGCGCGUCACCAGCGACUAGA